GGUGCGCGUAUAUAUAUAUAUACAAUAAUAGAAUUUAAUUCAAUAAUAAUUAAAUUCGGUUAUUGUAAUUAUAUAACUUGGUAUGAUUUUAAUUGCCGGUGUGUUUGAUUCAUUUCUUACUGGUCACUUCAAUAUGCUAAUUAGUUUAGCCCGCGAAAUGUUAGUCCGUGCAAUUUACCUCGUGUCGUUUGGUCAUUUGGAAUCAAACCUUACACGGAGCUUGACCAAAGCUACAAGAUUUACCCGACCUCCCAGUUUCCCAUUAUGAAUUUUUUCUGCUGCUUUUCAUUUAUCUUUUCAGUUUUGGAAGAGUGAUUAUAGAACCAGCGUCAUGGCAUAAAUAACAGACUCAAGUUAAGUGCUUUUGUUAGUGUGAAUGGACAGGCCGAAUUUACUUUAAGCUGCUAUGGAUUACCCAGUGGCUCCUGUUAUAACUUUAUUACUGCUGGAUCGCCCUUCAGUAAUUCAAUCGUCAUCAAGUUUUGAUUGACAAGUUGGUUGUGUUUCUUUGUUGCAAUAAAUGCCAUGACAAAUUUACAGCCAAAUAAAUCUUAAUUUCUUUAAUGCCUUUGAUUCAUAGUUUAAUUGUUAGAUUCAUUACAUCAUAAGGUCAAACAAUGAGAUUACAUAAUUAUACCUACAAGUACACUUGACAUUUUAUCUAGGCCUCCUUUUCAAUAUAGGUGCGCG
Molecule: long non-coding RNA, 690 nt
Filed under: Mytilus galloprovincialis (Mediterranean mussel)
Lineage: Eukaryota; Metazoa; Mollusca; Bivalvia; Mytilida; Mytilidae
Source: RNAcentral